Molecule: ribosomal RNA, 479 nt
Filed under: uncultured bacterium
Lineage: Bacteria
Description: partial 16S ribosomal RNA
Rfam family: Bacterial small subunit ribosomal RNA
Source: RNAcentral
GAUGAACGCUAGCGGGAGGCCUAACACAUGCAAGCCGAGCGGUAUUGUUUCUUCGGAAAUGAGAGAGCGGCGUACGGGUGCGUAACACGUGUGCAACCUGCCUUUAUCUGGGGGAUAGCCUUUCGAAAGGAAGAUUAAUACUCCAUAAUAUAUUGAACGGCAUCGUUUAAUAUUGAAAGCUCCGGCGGAUAGAGAUGGGCACGCGCAAGAUUAGCUAGUUGGUGAGGUAACGGCUCACCAAGGCGAUGAUCUUUAGGGGGCCGGAGAGGGUGAUCCCCCACACUGGUACUGAGACACGGACCAGACUCCUACGGGAGGCAGCAGUGAGGAAUAUUGGUCAAUGGGUGCAAGCCUGAACCAGCCAUCCCGCGUGAAGGACGACUGCCCUAUGGGUUGUAAACUUCUUUUGUAUAGGGAUAAACCUACCCUCGAGAGGGUAGCUGAAGGUACUAUACGAAUAAGCACCGGCUAACUCCGUG